GCGAGCAUGCUGGAACUGGCAGACAGGUACGUUUGAGGGGCGUAUGUCUAUGACGUGUGGGUUCAAGUCCCACUGCUCGCACCA
Molecule: transfer RNA, 84 nt
Filed under: Oscillospiraceae bacterium
Lineage: Bacteria; Bacillati; Bacillota; Clostridia; Eubacteriales; Oscillospiraceae
Description: tRNA-Leu
Rfam family: tRNA
About the family: Transfer RNA (tRNA) molecules are approximately 80 nucleotides in length. Their secondary structure includes four short double-helical elements and three loops (D, anti-codon, and T loops). Further hydrogen bonds mediate the characteristic L-shaped molecular structure. tRNAs have two regions of fundamental functional importance: the anti-codon, which is responsible for specific mRNA codon recognition, and the 3' end, to which the tRNAs corresponding amino acid is attached (by aminoacyl-tRNA synthetases). tRNAs cope with the degeneracy of the genetic code in two manners: having more than one tRNA (with a specific anti-codon) for a particular amino acid; and 'wobble' base-pairing, i.e. permitting non-standard base-pairing at the 3rd anti-codon position.
Source: RNAcentral